This 253-nucleotide ribosomal RNA is filed under the name uncultured bacterium. RNAcentral describes it as "partial 16S ribosomal RNA". It matches the Rfam family "Bacterial small subunit ribosomal RNA", at positions 524 to 776 of the family's 1533-position model. The record is from RNAcentral.
CACGUAGGGGGCGAGCGUUGUCCGGAUUUAUUGGGCGUAAAGAGCUCGUAGGCGGCUCAGUAAGUCAGGUGUGAAAACUCCAGGCUCAACCUGGAGACGCCACCUGAUACUGCUGUGGCUAGAGUCCGGUAGGGGAGCAUGGAAUUCCUGGUGUAGCGGUGAAAUGCGCAGAUAUCAGGAGGAACACCAGUGGCGAAGGCGGUGCUCUGGGCCGGAACUGACGCUGAGGAGCGAAAGCGUGGGAGCAAACAGG